CCCCAUUUUAAAAGCACUCAACAGACCUUUUGCUGGUGACCCAUUGAGCUUUCAAGAAGGGGCAGAGUAAAAACACCACUUUUGGGGGAAGUAGCAACUUGUAUUGUUUUACUCAAUCUGUCUUAUUCUGAAGA
Molecule: small nucleolar RNA, 134 nt
Organism: Nannospalax galili (Upper Galilee mountains blind mole rat)
Lineage: Eukaryota; Metazoa; Chordata; Mammalia; Rodentia; Spalacidae
Source: Ensembl